ACUUUAUACGAAUCUUACUAUGGUUGUUUAGUUAUGGAAUGCUCUUUUUAUUUUAAACAUUUCCGUGCUGACAUACCUGACUGUGUUUUGUUCCUUUGUCUAUCUCUAACGAAGGGCUUUUAAUUUAUCUUCCUUUUCUUUUUUUGUUCUUUCCUGUUUUUAGUACCCUCUGAUUGUUGCCCUCAUCAAUAAUGUAUGUUGUUAUUCCUUCUGCGUCUUCCUCUUCUUAUUCUGUUUCUCCAUCUUCUUUGGUGAUUUUUGGAGUGGAAGGAAAAAAUGGUCGGUGUCUGAUGGGUAUGGAGUUUGUAGUAGAGCUGGUGGUGGUGCUU
RNAcentral lists this long non-coding RNA (329 nucleotides) under Nicotiana benthamiana. Its description in RNAcentral is "long non-coding RNA (NBEN_LNC017884)". Lineage: Eukaryota; Viridiplantae; Streptophyta; Magnoliopsida; Solanales; Solanaceae. The record is from RNAcentral.